Chinchilla lanigera (long-tailed chinchilla) is the source of this 2028-nucleotide long non-coding RNA. RefSeq lists it as uncharacterized. The transcript is spliced from 4 exons. Lineage: Eukaryota; Metazoa; Chordata; Mammalia; Rodentia; Chinchillidae. The record is from RefSeq and is a predicted model, not a curated record.
UCUCCCUCCAGACUCCCCUUCUCUCCUCUCCAGCCCUCUUCCCAGCCUCUGUCUCUCUUCUUCCUCACUUCUGUCCUGUGUUGUUUACCAAGGCAAUUCACCUAGUGCUUCUGCUGGAGACGAAUCACUGCAAAGAUGCAGAAGACACAUCAAUGUCACAAGAGACCUUGAAACAUCUCCAAGGAGAAGGGAGAAGAGAAAGGAGUGAGGGUGCCACCUGUGGAUUGGUUGUUUGUGGCUUCUGGUUUAUGACUGCAACUGUGCGUGGAAAUUAGGACUCUGUGAGGGAGCAGGUACUUCAGACGUGGUAGGCUCAGGACUGGCAGCCACUAUUAACACCUGAGAGAGGAUACCACGAAGACCUGAGACAUGGACCCAGUGCAGAGAGGGAGACGGGGAAGACUCCUGAAGGAACACAUGGGAGUGUCGGAUCUCAUCACAUGCCAAGCCAGUCUAUUAGUUAUUGGAGACAAUACAUUCUCAGUUUCGUUUAAGGUGGUUUGAAUGAAGCUUUGGUCACUUACAGAUGCAAAGUUCUAGGCAGGUAUGAGUAAAAGAGACACAGAGCGUUGGUUGUGCGGGAUGCCUGGCCACAGAACGCUGGAGGAGAUGCAACUAAAUGCUCUUUAUCCGGGCGGAUUUCCCACCUUUGAGUUUUUGGCAGCAGCCGGCACGUGAACUACAUCAUGGUGCCCCUGUCCUGCGGUGGCUUCUCAAGAUAUUUUCCUAUCUGCAACAGUCCUUUCUCCGAAAAGAAUCACCCAGAUGUCCCAAGGGAAACAUUAAUUCUCCAUCUCCUGGAUGAAUGAACCAAUAAGCAAGGAGGCGGGGUUUGGUGAAAAGGAAGUGGUCCCCACACAGAUGGCAUAUUUUGUGGGCAGCAGCCAUACUUGAGGUGUGCUGAGCUGGUGGGGGUGUUCCUGUCUCCCAGAACACUUGGUGUUCUCUGGCCAUCCACAGUGCGCCCCACAGAACACCGGCGAAGAUGGGCUGCCAUAAAGGGACAGUCUGAAAGUCCCGCUGAGGACAGAAUGGAAGGACCUGGAAGCAAGCACAGGCUGGCAGCGGAGACUGAAGCCACAGUGGGGAUGAGCACAAGUCUGGAGUCUUCUGGGCCACAGCUUCUUCAGGCUGCGUUCCUGGCUCUUCCCGCCUCCAUGCAGGGUUAGGGUUCUCUGUGCUUCCAGGACUUCCAGGACAUGACCAGCAUCUGCCUUAUGGCUUGUGUUUACUUCUGAGCUCCUUGAAAGCUAGGACCACUCCACACUGACCUUUGUGCGGCUCCUGCUGUGGUGUGUUUUGAGGUUUUGCACAGCGCUGCAGGAAUCAUAGGACAUCAGGAAACGUUUGCAGGUCUGGGAGCUCUGCAGUGAACGAGUACUGUCUUAGGUAACCGGAGACACAAUCUGGAAAAGAAAAAUUGUAAAAUACAUAUAUCUGAAAAGGCUUCACAUAGGUUACAGGUAUGAAACGAAUGACUCCACACCAGUGUGUGGCUGAGCUCUAGGUCUUAUGGAGGCUGUUAGCAAAAGCAAAGAAUCCUGGCUUCGAACCUGGGGUCAACCUGGAAGUCGGGUGGAGAACUCUGAGAGGAAUGGGAGGAGCAUGCCCCCUCCCCUGGUGGAGAGCCUUGGAGGGACGGCAGUUUAAGAUCCAGUGUACUUGACAGCAUCUCUUCCAAUCUGAAAAUAAACUGAACUUCCUGAGCUGGUUUUUUGAAAACCAAAGCUUGGAGGACUUGUUUGACUUCUAUUCUCCCUGUGUCAGCAUUUGGAAGAAAAACAGGGAACAAUUAACACCGAAAAGAAACCCACCGUAUUAACAAUCAGCCUUGGGGGGCGGGGACACAGAAAGCUAAGGGGUCUAACUUUUUACAUUGCAUGAAGCCUAAAGAAUUAUGGACUUACCUAGAACUCAAGCUCUUCAUCUUUCUUCACUUGAUCCCUAUCCAAGUAGCUACUGUAGAAUACUUUAAUAUUCUCUGAUGCAUCAGUAAUGUCUUGCAAUGUGAUCAUUAAAUGCACUGAA